Molecule: ribosomal RNA, 425 nt
Filed under: uncultured bacterium
Lineage: Bacteria
Description: partial 16S ribosomal RNA
Rfam family: Bacterial small subunit ribosomal RNA
Source: RNAcentral
GUGGGGAAUCUUGCGCAAUGGGCGAAAGCCUGACGCAGCCAUGCCGCGUGAAUGAUGAAGGUCUUAGGAUUGUAAAAUUCUUUCACCGGGGACGAUAAUGACGGUACCCGGAGAAGAAGCCCCGGCUAACUUCGUGCCAGCAGCCGCGGUAAUACGAAGGGGGCUAGCGUUGCUCGGAAUUACUGGGCGUAAAGGGCGCGUAGGCGGACAGUUUAGUCAGAGGUGAAAGCCAAGGGCUAAACCUUGGAAUUGCCUUUGAUACUGGCUGUCUUGAGUACGGAAGAGGUGAGUGGAACUCCGAGUGUAGAGGUGAAAUUCGUAGAUAUUCGGAAGAACACCAGUGGCGAAGGCGACUCACUGGCCCGUUACUGACGCUGAGGCGCGAAAGCGUGGGGAGCAAACAGGAUUAGAUACCCCUGUAGUCC